GCGGGCGUGGCGAAACGGCAGACGCGCCGGGUUUAGGUCCCGGUGGGGGCGACCCCGUGGAGGUUCGAGUCCUCCCGCCCGCA
RNAcentral lists this transfer RNA (83 nucleotides) under Gaiellales bacterium. RNAcentral's name for it is "tRNA-Leu". It matches the Rfam family "tRNA". From Rfam's summary of the family: Transfer RNA (tRNA) molecules are approximately 80 nucleotides in length. Their secondary structure includes four short double-helical elements and three loops (D, anti-codon, and T loops). RNAcentral also lists the same sequence under 1 other name. Lineage: Bacteria; Bacillati; Actinomycetota; Thermoleophilia; Gaiellales. The record is from RNAcentral.